AGACCUGCAAAGUUUCAUGAAAACAUAUUGAACAGUUUCUGAGUUAAGCUCCAGAAACGAAAUGUGACGGACGGAGCCCGUUUCUAUAUCCCCCGCCAACUUUGUUGGGCAGGGGAUAAAAAGUAAUAAUUUUAUCUUAAUGUCGCAGGUUAAGUUUUACUAAUAUGUUAAUUAUGUCACCAACUUGUUCCCAUAUCUAAUAUUGGCUUGAACAGGCCACCUUAACUGUGGUCUGUCAGGUACAUCCUGGGCCCUGGCACAUGCAGUCCCUGCAAAUGAUGUAGAGGCAGGUCACAUGACUGUCCUCUAUAUAGACUGCAUGUGUUAGGAACCCAGCACACACCAUGCCGGACCACCAAGCCAUAUAGCAUGUCGCUUUGUUAUAAUUGCAGGACUCAUCAUAAAUAAAACAUCAGCCCAGAACGAGAACUUUGUUGUUCCUGUGACAUUAUGGCGCCCAACGUGGGGCUGAUGUAGGAAUGAAGACCUGUGGCUUGUGUGGCCGUGACGUCAUCGUAUCCCUGUGGUUGUAAUCACAGCAGCUGCAGUCUCUGCAUGGAUGGAGAAAUUCUUUUCGCGUGUUGAGAUAUUCAGUUGGAAGUGGUAGGGCCCGUACCCCAUGGGGAAAUUAUGAUUGACAUCGCCGGCAUCAUGUGUACACUCGCGUUAUUGCGUUCGCGUUCCUAAGUUUGUUGUUGUUGUUUUAGUUGUUUUUUUCUUUUUGUGCCAGGACAAUAACUUUCUGUUCACGGACUUCGCUGAGGUGCAAGUGACUUUAUACUUUUCAUUGUGUUUACUUGACAUUGUGAUGUCAGCAUGUGACUUUGCAU
Molecule: long non-coding RNA, 830 nt
Organism: Haliotis rufescens (red abalone)
Lineage: Eukaryota; Metazoa; Mollusca; Gastropoda; Lepetellida; Haliotidae
Exons: 2
Source: RefSeq, a predicted model, not a curated record